UAGGGAAUCUUCCACAAUGGCCGCAAGUCUGAUGGAGCAACGCCGCGUGAGUGAAGAAGGUUUUCGGAUCGUAAAGCUCUGUUGUUGGUGAAGAAGGAUAGAGGCAGUAACUGGUCUUUAUUUGACGGUAAUCAACCAGAAAGUCACGGCUAACUACGUGCCAGCAGCCGCGGUAAUACGUAGGUGGCAAGCGUUGUCCGGAUUUAUUGGGCGUAAAGCGAGCGCAGGCGGAAUGAUAAGUCUGAUGUGAAAGCCCACGGCUCAACCGUGGAACUGCAUCGGAAACUGUCAUUCUUGAGUGCAGAAGAGGAGAGUGGAAUUCCAUGUGUAGCGGUGGAAUGCGUAGAUAUAUGGAAGAACACCAGUGGCGAAGGCGGCUCUCUGGUCUGCAACUGACGCUGAGGAUCGAAAGCAUGGGUAGCGAACAGG
This 429-nucleotide ribosomal RNA is filed under the name Bacillota bacterium. RNAcentral's name for it is "Firmicutes bacterium partial 16S ribosomal RNA". It matches the Rfam family "Bacterial small subunit ribosomal RNA", at positions 355 to 776 of the family's 1533-position model. The record is from RNAcentral. Lineage: Bacteria; Bacillati; Bacillota.